GGGCCCGCACAAGCGGUGGAGUAUGUGGUUUAAUUCGAUGCAACGCGAAGAACCUUACCAGGGUUUGACAUCCUGCGAAUCUCUUGGAAACGAGAGAGUGCCUUCGGGAACGCAGUGACAGGUGGUGCAUGGCUGUCGUCAGCUCGUGUCGUGAGAUGUUGGGUUAAGUCCCGCAACGAGCGCAACCCACGUCGUUAGUUGCCAGCAUUUAGUUGGGCACUCUAGCGAGACCGCCGGUGAUAAACCCGGAGGAAGGUGUGGAUGACGUCAAGUCAUCAUGCCCCUUACAUCCUGGGCUACACACGUGCUACAAUGGUAGGGACAGAGAGCAGCCACUGGGCGACCAGGAGCAAA
This 354-nucleotide ribosomal RNA is filed under the name uncultured bacterium. Its description in RNAcentral is "bacterial SSU rRNA". It matches the Rfam family "Bacterial small subunit ribosomal RNA", at positions 917 to 1271 of the family's 1533-position model. The record is from RNAcentral.